RNAcentral lists this ribosomal RNA (519 nucleotides) under uncultured marine eukaryote. Its description in RNAcentral is "SSU rRNA". It matches the Rfam family "Eukaryotic small subunit ribosomal RNA", at positions 612 to 1131 of the family's 1831-position model. The record is from RNAcentral.
GUUGUGGUUAAAAAGCUCGUAGUUGGAUCUCAACAGCCUUGAAGCGGUUAACUUUGUAGUUUUACUGCUUUAUAGGCUGUGCUUUUGCUGGAGGUUUAGGGGUGCUCUUGAUCGAGUGUCUCUGGAUGCCAGCAGGUUUACUUUGAAAAAAUUAGAGUGCUCAAAGCAGGCUAAAAUGCCUGAAUAUUCGUGCAUGGAAUAAUAGAAUAGGAUGUCGAUCCUAUUUUGUUGGUUUUCGGGACUCGACAUAAUGAUAAAUAGGGACAGUCGGGGGCAUUUGUAUUCAAACGACAGAGGUGAAAUUCUUGGACCGUUUGAAGACAAACUACUGCGAAAGCAUUUGCCAAGAUUGUUUUCAUUAAUCAAGAACGAAAGUUAGAGGUUCGAAGGCGAUUAGAUACCGCCCUAGUUCUAACCAUAAACGAUGCCAGCUAGCGAUCUGCCUGCGUUUUUACUGUAGACUGGGCAGGAAGCUUCCCGGGAAACCAAAGCAUUUGGGUUCCAGGGGAAGUAUGGUUG